RNAcentral lists this long non-coding RNA (208 nucleotides) under Lathyrus oleraceus (garden pea). RNAcentral's name for it is "Pisum sativum (pea) long non-coding RNA (PSAT_LNC020806)". The record is from RNAcentral. Lineage: Eukaryota; Viridiplantae; Streptophyta; Magnoliopsida; Fabales; Fabaceae.
UCAGUAGAGGCAUCAGCCUGCAGAAAGAAAAAUGUGUAAGAGAAGCGCAACAAAAAUCCAAAGGAGUAAACAGGAAAAGGGGUAAAUACCUUUGGCGACGCAGGAGAGACUGCAUCCUGAUUUGCUUUCCCCAAGGAGGCAACAAAAGAGAUGUCAACCGAUAGUGAAGCGCCCACAGCCGGAUUAGGGACCGGUUUGAGGAUGGAAG